RNAcentral lists this non-coding RNA (29 nucleotides) under Homo sapiens (human). The record is from RNAcentral. Lineage: Eukaryota; Metazoa; Chordata; Mammalia; Primates; Hominidae.
UAUGGUGUGUCACAGUAAACACCCAGGGC